RNAcentral lists this unclassified non-coding RNA (1262 nucleotides) under uncultured Neocallimastigales. RNAcentral's name for it is "partial contains internal transcribed spacer 1, 5.8S ribosomal RNA, internal transcribed spacer 2, and large subunit ribosomal RNA". The stretch from base 530 to 1262 matches the Rfam family "Eukaryotic large subunit ribosomal RNA", at positions 1 to 631 of the family's 3401-position model. Lineage: Eukaryota; Fungi; Neocallimastigomycota; Neocallimastigomycetes; Neocallimastigales. The record is from RNAcentral.
GACAAUUUUGGUACUAAUUAAUCAUCCUACCCUUUGUGAAUUUGUUUGUAAGAAUUUUUUAAAUGGGUCUUUCCCUAAGUUGGAUUGUAGUAAAAUACAAAAAGACUUAGGGAAUGAUUUUUAAAGACUUUUUUUUAAUUAAACUUUUGUUUCAUUUGUCUAAAAUUUAUUUAUAAUAUAAAAACAACUUUUGACAAUGGAUCUCUUGGUUCUCGCAACGAUGAAGAACGCAGCAAAAUGCGAUAAGUAGUGUGAUUGCAGAAUACGUGAAUCAUCGAACUUCGAACGCAUAUUGCACUUUUUUAGUUACUAAAAAGAAUGUCUGUUUGAGUAUCAGUAAAUAUUCUCAAACAUAUAUUGUUUGUGGUAUGAGUGUUUACAACGAUAAACAAGUUGUUUCACUUAAAUUCUUUUGUAAGUUUUACUACCAUUACAAAUUUAAAUUGGAUAAAUUUUCCUUUAACGAGGAAUAACCUAAACAAUUUUAAAUUUUUGGUUCGUAAUCCAUAAAGGAAUAUACAUAAAUAAUUGAUCUCAAAUCAGAUAAGAGUACCCGCUGAACUAAGCAUAUCAUAAGCGGAGGAAAAGAACUAACAAGGAUUCCUUAGUACGGCGAGUGAAGCGGGAAAGCUCAAAUUUGAAUCUUCAAGGUUUGACCUUGACGAAUUGUAGUUAUAGAAGUUUUCUGUUGGAGUUUUGGUAAAGUUCUUGGAAUAGGACAUCAUAGAGGUGAGAAUCCCGUAUUGACCAUGACUUCACUGUGUGAUACACUUCAAAGAUCGGAUUGUUGGAAUGCAGUCCAAAAUGGGUGGUAAAUUUCAUCUAAAGCUAAAUAUUGGCGAGAGACCGAUAGCGAAAGUAUCGUGAGGGAAAGAUGAAAGAACUUUGAAAAGAGAGUUAAACAGUACGUGAAAUUGUCAAAAGGAAGCGUUUGACACCAUGUUGUUUUCUCGAAAAUCAAUUUAAUGAGUUCUUGUUUUUAGUUUUGUGACUUAUCAGCGCAUUCUUAUUUACUGACUCAUGAAUGCACUUUUCGUUUAACAAGUCAACAUCAAUUUCUUUGGUGGUAAAAGUUAAAGGAAGUGCUUGGACUUCGGUUCAAGUUUAUAGCCUUUUUUCUAUGCCAUCGGAAGAUUGAGGUCUGCAGCGUAGAUCCUCGGGUAGAUACUUUGUGCUAAGUUAUGUUUUUAUAGACAACUUGUUGACUAAAUUAACCCUGUAAUUACUCGCUUAGGCUAUUUUACCUACGCUUAGGAUGUGAG